This 253-nucleotide ribosomal RNA is filed under the name uncultured bacterium. RNAcentral describes it as "partial 16S ribosomal RNA". It matches the Rfam family "Bacterial small subunit ribosomal RNA", at positions 524 to 776 of the family's 1533-position model. The record is from RNAcentral.
UACGGGGGGAGCAAGCGUUGUUCGGAUUUAUUGGGCGUAAAGAGCGCGUAGGCGGCCGAGUAAGUCCGACGUGAAAUCUGGAGGCUCAACCUCCAGCGGUCGUUGGAAACUACUCGGCUAGAGUCCGGAAGAGGAGAGUGGAAUUCCUGGUGUAGCGGUGAAAUGCGCAGAUAUCAGGAAGAACACCGAUGGCGAAAGCAGCUCUCUGGGACGGUACUGACGCUGAGGCGCGAAAGCGUGGGGAGCGAACAGG